UACGAAGGGUGCAAGCGUUACUCGGAAUUACUGGGCGUAAAGCGUGCGUAGGCGGUUCGUUAAGUCAGAUGUGAAAGCCCCGGGCUCAACCUGGGAAUUGCAUUUGAUACUGGCGGGCUAGAGUACGGUAGAGGGUGGUGGAAUUCCCGGAGUAGCAGUGAAAUGCGUAGAGAUCGGGAGGAACAUCCGUGGCGAAGGCGGCCACCUGGACCAGUACUGACGCUGAGGCACGAAAGCGUGGGGAGCAAACAGG
This 253-nucleotide ribosomal RNA is filed under the name uncultured bacterium. RNAcentral describes it as "partial 16S ribosomal RNA". It matches the Rfam family "Bacterial small subunit ribosomal RNA", at positions 524 to 776 of the family's 1533-position model. The record is from RNAcentral.